This 171-nucleotide ribosomal RNA is filed under the name Mortierellaceae sp. RNAcentral's name for it is "partial small subunit ribosomal RNA". It matches the Rfam family "Eukaryotic small subunit ribosomal RNA", at positions 1352 to 1544 of the family's 1831-position model. The record is from RNAcentral. Lineage: Eukaryota; Fungi; Mortierellomycota; Mortierellomycetes; Mortierellales; Mortierellaceae.
UAAAUAGUUAGGCCAACGACUGUUGGUCGCCAACUUCUUAGAGGGACUAUUGACUAUUAGUCAAUGGAAGUUUUAGGCAAUAACAGGUCUGUGAUGCCCUUAGAUAUUCUGGGCCGCAAGCGCGUUACACUGAUCAAGCCAGCGAGUUUACAACCUUAACCUGAAGGUCUG